This 253-nucleotide ribosomal RNA is filed under the name uncultured bacterium. RNAcentral's name for it is "partial 16S ribosomal RNA". It matches the Rfam family "Bacterial small subunit ribosomal RNA", at positions 524 to 776 of the family's 1533-position model. The record is from RNAcentral.
GACAGAGGGUGCAAACGUUGCUCGGAUUUACUGGGCGUAAAGCGCGAGUAGGCGAUCUUGUAAGUCGGGUGUGAAAACCCAGGGCUCAACCCUGGCAGUGCACACGAUACUGCGAGACUGGGGUACUGAAGAGGAGAGCGGAAUUCUCGGUGUAGAGGUGAAAUUCGUAGAUAUCGGGAGGAACACCAGUGGCGAAGGCGGCUCUCUGGGCAGAUACCGACGCUGAGACGCGAAAGCUAGGGGAGCGAACAGG